RNAcentral lists this ribosomal RNA (450 nucleotides) under uncultured bacterium. RNAcentral describes it as "partial 16S ribosomal RNA". It matches the Rfam family "Bacterial small subunit ribosomal RNA", at positions 354 to 796 of the family's 1533-position model. The record is from RNAcentral.
GUGGGGAAUUUUGGACAAUGGGCGCAAGCCUGAUCCAGCAAUGCCGCGUGCAGGAAGAAGGCCUUCGGGUUGUAAACUGCUUUUGUACGGAACGAAACGGUCCGGGUUAAUACCCUGGGCUAAUGACGGUACCGUAAGAAUAAGCACCGGCUAACUACGUGCCAGCAGCCGCGGUAAUACGUAGGGUGCAAGCGUUAAUCGGAAUUACUGGGCGUAACGCGUGCGCAGGCGGUUUUGUAAGACAGGCGUGAAAUCCCCGGGCUCAACCUGGGAAUUGCGCUUGUGACUGCAAGGCUGGAGUGCGGCAGAGGGGGAUGGAAUUCCGCGUGUAGCAGUGAAAUGCGUAGAUAUGCGGAGGAACACCGAUGGCGAAGGCAAUCCCCUGGGCCUGCACUGACGCUCAUGCACGAAAGCGUGGGGAGCAAACAGGAUUAGAUACCCCGGUAGUCC